This is a long non-coding RNA of Colius striatus (speckled mousebird), 3041 nucleotides long. RefSeq lists it as uncharacterized. The record is from RefSeq and is a predicted model, not a curated record. The transcript has 3 exons. Lineage: Eukaryota; Metazoa; Chordata; Aves; Coliiformes; Coliidae.
CACAGACUCGGACAAGUUGCCAGAGAUCUACAGACACUUCCCACAGCUCUGAGCAGGCACCUCUCUGCUUCACUGACAAUCACACUAGAGGUGGGUGACAGCACCAUGAAGGAUUAACAAGCAAGAAACAAAAACCAGGUAAACAUCUGAGGAUAUGAUGAAACUGACGUGAGCCUACAUUGCUUACUACUGAAAAAGCAACUCAAAAGCUACAAUCAAGAGUCUGCUGCAAGCACAAGAGGGCAGAUCAACGCACAUAAUGGAUUUUUCUAACAACAGAGGUCUCAACCUGCUACUGAAUUUUCUGCUUAUUGUCUUGGUUCUAGUGCUCGCAUUUAUCCUUGUGAAGCUGAUGUGAAGUUCCGCGAGGCUCUACUUCCUCCUCAAAUCUUGUUUUGAAGGUUUUGUAAUGAUAAUGUAGACACUUCAAACUAUCUAACUAUAAAUAAGCAAAAAAUGCAGAGACUCAAAUAUCUGACAGAGAAAGAUUCACGCUAUUUUAUCACAAAUCAUUCCUAAAAGCUGUGCACAAUUAUCUACCUGCCACUAAGUAAAGAAACCAUCUAGAGCCUUCCUGAGUAAACCAAGAAAUCCAAGUAUGCAUCAGUUGUUACUGUAGUUAUCACUGCUACAAAUGACUUGUAUUUAAACACCUACAAAGCAUCUACACAGCCUUCAAGGAACAUUCUUUCUGCAAAAGAUUACAAAUAAAAUUUUUAAAAUAUUAUUUCCAUAGAAGACAUACUUCAUGGGAAAUGACAGAUACAGGAGGAAAGCAGAAUGAAACACCAUUAAGUGGGCUGACAAGGUAAAUCAAAUAACCUGUGGAAAGCAAAAGCUCAGAUGCUGAGGAUGGAAACAAAGAAAGCCCACGAAAAGUAACUUAUCCUAGCUGCUGCAAGAUGACCAUCUGCAGUUCACAGCAAGCUCUCAGAAGCCAUUAGUAUUAUCCAAUAGUAUCAAGAGGUAGCUCCCCUCACAAUUGAAAAAUAAGUGACCAGUAGUUAUAACUGCAUAGGAAGUCCUCAACACUGACACAUACAUGUGCAGUAGGCGGAUCUGCAGAAAUGCAAGAAGUAUGCUGUGUUUUCAGUAAGGGAGAUUUACCACUUAUGCACAGGUCAAGUGUGCAGUGUGAGAGUCCUCAAGCUGUAUCUGACACAGCACUUAUUACUUGCUAGUGCAAUCGUUCAGUCCAUAGCUUGUCCUCACUUCAAGCAUGCAACUUAUGCUUCUUUCAUGGCUCUUUGCAGAAUAAUGUACUCUCCCCACAGGUCUCUUGGAAGGGCAGUGACCAAGAAGAGCUCUCUUUUGCUGGAAUUAUUUGCCCAAAAGGUAGCUCUACAUACCUGAGAUAUGCUGGGAAAGGUGUCCAGAAACAGAUUUUAUACAAAACAUUGAGGUCAAAUAGCUUAUUUGUAAUACCUCUUUCCCAGAUACAACAUGAAAACAAAGUCCACCAACACACAUGCCCUGUACAGUAACAGUACGUGCCACAUGUAUACAUACUAAUAGUCUUUUGCAGACAUGCGAAAAAGGCAGAUGUUACUCCUACGGUGGAGGAAACCCCAGCUUUCUAUUACCAACAGCACAUCCCCGAUUCAGCACAUAAGACUGUUAAUCCAGCCCUUCAAGUGCCAACUAUAUUACAGAGCUGAUCUAAUCAAGUUCACACUCAGGAUUUCCAGAUGAUUACCAAUGUUGUAGAGUGAUUCAGUUAUUUGGAAGAGAUUAAUCUAAAUUGGGACUACAAAGACUUCUUGUUUGUGAAACAAAGUUUAUGCAAGUCCUACUGUUCACAGGCAUCUACAUGCUACUCUAUGCUACCUGCUCCAAAGUUUAGGCAGCAUUAGACACUGCAGCACAGAUAGUUAGAAUGAAAAAACUUACCUGCUCCAAAACACAUGUAACAUUUAUAAAAGCUUCUGCAAACAACCCAUCUAUGGCUUAAUGUUGAUACAAUAAUAUCCAUUCCUCUCUGUGUGCAUUCAAAGCAGAAAUUCAAAGUACUUACUCUAGAUCGUAAGGAAUGGAAUCCCUGUUGAUGGACUAUCAGCUUCACAGCAAAAGGAAUAGAAGACAAAAGCUUAACUGGGUCUCGCAGUGGAGUUUGUGUUGCUAACUAAAGGUAUUAAUCCAUGUUUUUCCACGUUAAAAACUUUUAUCUUGCUGAAAAGUACUGUUUUUUCUGUCAUACCUUGUUGAAGUGUUGGUACUAGUUGUUUUUAGUUUUCUGAUCUGCCAGGAUCAUAAGAAAAACUAGCUCCGAGCUGACCUUUAGGAACAAAAUUUUCUGUGGCAAGAAUAUUAUUUAAAAGGUGUUGUAACUUUUAAUCUUUAUUGCAGUUUUACAACUUCCGUUUACCAAUGUUUAGAUGUUCUGUUUAGAAAUGAAGAUUGUUAUAGUAUCUCCAGAUUUCUUAAUACUUAAAAUUUAAUUUCCAGUAACUUGUACAUACAUGGUAUAAACAGGAUAGUGUCUUCCUCAUUAAAGGAAAGACAGUAAACCAGAUACAUCAAAGGAAAAAGAUGCACUUAAGCAACUUUGAUCUCUUAUUUUUGCUAUAUUGUGACACAAAUUAGCACACCGUGAAGAAAUCAUACAGAUACUCCAGAUACAUACAGAUACUGGGAAAAAAAGACAGAUUUAUCCUGCAAUGCCUAAAACACUCCACAGAGAUAAUAAAUAAACAUGAAACCUUCUGAAAUCUUCCUUCUUAUUGUAUUAUCUCCUUCAAUUUUAAAGGCAUGUCUUCAUUUUAAAUCUAAUUUCUGGACUACCACACUGUAUGUACUUAAAUACAGACAAAUAAUAGGACCAGGCUUUAAGAAAUGCCUUUUGAUGAAAACAUACAAUUUUUUUACCCAGAGUUGUUUGGCUUCCCUCACCCUUCAUUAAGUGGAAAAUGCUGUCAUGUAUCAUAAGCAUUUUUUCCCCCCUCAACACAGGCCUAAAUCACAUACUUCCUUUUAACCCCUCAGAAUUAAAUGUUGCAAUAGUAGUAUCUCCUGAAGAUGAGCUGUAUAUUGGAAAUAAAGUG